RNAcentral lists this unclassified non-coding RNA (342 nucleotides) under uncultured fungus. Its description in RNAcentral is "partial contains 5.8S ribosomal RNA and internal transcribed spacer 2". The stretch from base 1 to 133 matches the Rfam family "5.8S ribosomal RNA", at positions 22 to 154 of the family's 154-position model. Lineage: Eukaryota; Fungi. The record is from RNAcentral.
UGGUUCCGGCAUCGAUGAAGAACGCAGCGAAAUGCGAUAAGUAAUGUGAAUUGCAGAUUUUAGUGAAUCAUCGAAUCUUUGAACGCACAUUGCGCCCUUUGGUAUUCCAAGGGGCAUGCCUGUCCGAGCGUCAUAAAACAAACUCAAGCAAGUAUUAUUUACUUCUUGGUAGUGGACUUGGUGACUGAGAUCGCCUGUCUGAAUAGCAGUGCCAGAGCCUGUAAAUGCCUGAAGCGUAGUAGAUUUUUCUUCCUUCAGCGCUUACAGUUGCCCUCGGCCAAACCCUUCUUAACUGAAGAAUUUCACAAGUUUGACCUCGGAUCAGGUAGGAUUACCCGCUGA